RNAcentral lists this ribosomal RNA (608 nucleotides) under Stutzerimonas stutzeri. RNAcentral's name for it is "bacterial SSU rRNA". It matches the Rfam family "Bacterial small subunit ribosomal RNA", at positions 93 to 697 of the family's 1533-position model. The record is from RNAcentral. Lineage: Bacteria; Pseudomonadati; Pseudomonadota; Gammaproteobacteria; Pseudomonadales; Pseudomonadaceae.
UAGCGGCGGACCCCUUAGUAAUGCCUAGGAAUCUGCCUGGUAGUGGGGGAUAACUCGGGGAAACUCGAGCUAAUACCGCAUACGUCCUACGGGAGAAAGCGGGGGAUCUUCGGACCUCGCGCUACCAGAUGAGCCUAGGUCGGAUUAGCUAGUUGGUGAGGUAAAGGCUCACCAAGGCGACAAUCCGUAGCUGGUCUGAGAGGAUGAUCAGCCACACUGGAACUGAGACACGGUCCAGACUCCUACGGGAGGCAGCAGUGGGGAAUAUUGGACAAUGGGCGAAAGCCUGAUCCAGCCAUGCCGCGUGUGUGAAGAAGGUCUUCGGAUUGUAAAGCACUUUAAGUUGGGAGGAAGGGCAGUAAGUUAAUACCUUGCUGUUUUGACGUUACCGACAGAAUAAGCACCGGCUAACUUCGUGCCAGCAGCCGCGGUAAUACGAAGGGUGCAAGCGUUAAUCGGAAUUACUGGGCGUAAAGCGCGCGUAGGUGGUUUGAUAAGUUGGAUGUGAAAGCCCCGGGCUCAACCUGGGAAUUGCAUCCAAAACUGUCUGACUAGAGUAUGGCAGAGGGUGGUGGAAUUUCCUGUGUAGCGCUGAAAUGCGUAAAUAU